CUACGGGCGGCUCCAGUGAGGAAUAUUGGACAAUGGAGGCAACUCUGAUCCAGCCAUGCCGCGUGCAGGAAGACGGCCCUAUGGGUUGUAAACUGCUUUUAUACAGGAAGAAUGUUAUCUACGUGUAGAUGUUUGACGGUACUGUACGAAUAAGGAUCGGCUAACUCCGUGCCAGCAGCCGCGGUAAUACGGAGGAUCCAAGCGUUAUCCGGAAUCAUUGGGUUUAAAGGGUCCGCAGGCGGUUCAUUAAGUCAGAGGUGAAAUCCUACCGCUCAACGGUAGCAUUGCCUUUGAUACUGAUGGACUUGAGUUAUAGUGAAGUAGUUAGAAUGUGUAGUGUAGCGGUGAAAUGCAUAGAUAUUACACAGAAUACCGAUUGCGAAAGCAGAUUACUAACUGUAUACUGACGCUGAGGGACGAAAGCGUGGGGAGCAAACAGGAUUAGAUACCCUCGUAGUC
Molecule: ribosomal RNA, 459 nt
Filed under: uncultured bacterium
Lineage: Bacteria
Description: partial 16S ribosomal RNA
Rfam family: Bacterial small subunit ribosomal RNA
Source: RNAcentral